Molecule: small nuclear RNA, 191 nt
Organism: Lineus longissimus
Lineage: Eukaryota; Metazoa; Nemertea; Pilidiophora; Heteronemertea; Lineidae
Product: U2 spliceosomal RNA
Exons: 1
Source: RefSeq, a predicted model, not a curated record
AUCUGUUCCUCGGCCUAUUGGCUAAGAUCAAAGUGUAGUAUCUGUUCUUAUCUGUUUACUCCAAGUUUACUCCAAGUCAGGUCGGGGAGCAGCACGUGCCAUAUUCGUUUAUUUAUUUCGUUGAUUUCGUUGAUUUCGUUUAGCACUAUGUGACGUUUUACAGCACCGAUUCCGUUUUAGUUGGACCUUUU